This 263-nucleotide ribosomal RNA is filed under the name uncultured archaeon. RNAcentral's name for it is "partial 16S ribosomal RNA". It matches the Rfam family "Archaeal small subunit ribosomal RNA", at positions 748 to 1009 of the family's 1478-position model. The record is from RNAcentral.
CAGCCGUAAACUAAUGCGCGUUAGGUGUAUCGGUGACCACGAGUUACCGAGGUGCCGAAGGGAAACCGUGAAACGUGCCGCCUGGGAAGUACGGUCGCAAGGCUGAAACUUAAAGGAAUUGGCGGGGGGAGCACCACAACAGGUGGAGCCUGCGGUUUAAUUGGACUCAACGCCGGGAAGCUCACCGGAUAGGACAGCAGAAUGAUUGCCGGGCUGAAGACCCUGCAUGACUAGCUGAGAGGAGGUGCAUGGCGUAGACGUCU